RNAcentral lists this ribosomal RNA (345 nucleotides) under uncultured Acholeplasma sp. Its description in RNAcentral is "bacterial SSU rRNA". It matches the Rfam family "Bacterial small subunit ribosomal RNA", at positions 1034 to 1382 of the family's 1533-position model. The record is from RNAcentral. Lineage: Bacteria; Bacillati; Mycoplasmatota; Mollicutes; Acholeplasmatales; Acholeplasmataceae.
ACAGGUGGUGGCAUGGUUGUCGUCAGCUCGUGUCGUGAGAUGUUGGUUAAGUCCCGCAACGAGCGCAACCCCUAUUGCUAGUUACCAUCAUAAUUGGGGACUCUAGCGAGACUGCCAGUGAUAAACUGGAGGAAGGUGGGGAUGACGUCAAAUCAUCAUGCCCCUUAUGACCUGGGCUACAAACGUGAUACAAUGGCUGGAACAAAGGGAGGCGAAGGGGUGACCUGGAGCGAAACUCAAAAAAACAGUCUCAGUUCGGAUUGAAGUCUGCAACUCGACUUCAUGAAGUCGGAAUCGCUAGUAAUCGCGGAUCAGAACGCCGCGGUGAAUACGUUCUCGGGGUUU